AUACGUAGGUGGCAAGCGUUGUCCGGAUUUACUGGGUGUAAAGGGCGUGUAGGCGGAGAUGCAAGUCAGGAGUGAAAUCUAGGGGCUCAACCCCUAAACUGCUUUUGAAACUGUAUCCCUUGAGUAUCGGAGAGGCAGGCGGAAUGUGGGGUGUAGCGGGGAAAUGCAUAGAUAUUCCACAGAACACCGAUUGCGAGGGCAGCUGACGAAUCCCCGAUUGACGCUGAUGCACGAAAGUGCGGGUAUCGAACAGGAUUAGAUACCCUGGUAGUCCGCACAGUAAACGAUGAUAACUAGUUGUUGGCGAUAAACAGAUCAGUAACUGAGCGAAAGCGUUAAGUUAUCCACCUGGGGAGUACGACCGCAAGGUUGAAACUCAAAUGAAUUGACGGGG
This 394-nucleotide ribosomal RNA is filed under the name uncultured bacterium. RNAcentral's name for it is "partial 16S ribosomal RNA". It matches the Rfam family "Bacterial small subunit ribosomal RNA", at positions 523 to 918 of the family's 1533-position model. The record is from RNAcentral.